GAUGAACGCUAGCGAUAGGCUUAACACAUGCAAGUCGAGGGGCAGCACAAGGUAGCUUGCUCUCUGGGUGGCGACCGGCGCACGGGUGCGUAACGCGUAUGCAACUUGCCCUAUACAGGAGGAUAACCCGUCGAAAGACGGACUGAUACUGCGUAUGCUCACAACUUGGCAUCAAGUGGUGAGGAAAGAAAUUCGGUAUAGGAUAGGCAUGCGUCCCAUUAGCUUGUUGGUGAGGUAACGGCUCACCAAGGCAACGAUGGGUAGGGGAACUGAGAGGUUUAUCCCCCACACUGGUACUGAGACACGGACCAGACUCCUACGGGAGGCAGCAGUGAGGAAUAUUGGUCAAUGGGCGCGAGCCUGAACCAGCCAAGUCGCGUGAAGGAUGACUGUCUUAUGGAUUGUAAACUUCUUUUAUACGGGAAUAACAAGAGUCACGUGUGACUCCCUGCAUGUACCGUAUGAAUAAGCAUCGGCUAACUCCGUG
RNAcentral lists this ribosomal RNA (487 nucleotides) under uncultured bacterium. Its description in RNAcentral is "partial 16S ribosomal RNA". It matches the Rfam family "Bacterial small subunit ribosomal RNA", at positions 28 to 507 of the family's 1533-position model. The record is from RNAcentral.